This 285-nucleotide unclassified non-coding RNA is filed under the name plant metagenome. RNAcentral describes it as "partial contains small subunit ribosomal RNA, internal transcribed spacer 1, and 5.8S ribosomal RNA". The stretch from base 1 to 54 matches the Rfam family "Eukaryotic small subunit ribosomal RNA", at positions 1778 to 1831 of the family's 1831-position model. The record is from RNAcentral.
GGAAGUAAAGGUCGUAACAAGGUUUCCGUAGGUGAACCUGCGGAAGGAUCAUUAUUGUAUAGCCGAGGGGCGAGGGCUGUCGCUGACCCGAAAGGUCGUGCACGCCCGAGUGCCCUCACACACAUCCAUCUCACCCCUAUGUGCACCACCGCGUGGGUCCCCCUUUGGCUUGUUCGGAGGGGGGCUUACGUUUUCACACAAACUUUGUAUGCAGUGUAGAAUGUAUUUUUUGUUUUUGCGAUCACGCAAUCAAUACAACUUUCAACAACGGAUCUCUUGGCUCUC